UUCCAUCCCUUGAAUAUAAACUUUCGGACUGGAAAGAGUUUUAAGGAGACAAGGGGAUAAGUUUUAUUUUUUUUGGGCAAAAAAAUGAGCUAAUUUUUAUUAUAAAUAACUAAGGCGAGUUGAUUUUAUUUUAAAACAAAUAUAUUCACCCCAAAUACACCACAUACACCCAUCAGAUUAUAUUUUUCACUCUCUCUCUAAAAUCCAACGUCUCUUUCUCUCUAUCUUCUCCAUCUUCACUGCCUUCUCCGGCAGCCACCACCGCCGGAAUCCGGCGAAGCCAUACACACACUCAGCCUCCCCCACUUCUCACUAUCUCUCUCCCGUACCCUCUCAAAAUUGAUUUCCCUUCUCUUUCUUCAUCUCUCCAACAACAUCUUCCAUCCCCGUUGCCGCCGCCCCGUCGCUGCUACCUCUCCGUCGGCGACUUCCCUUCGUGCCCCAUAUACAGGACUCGCCAGCCGCGACCAGGAACGGCCACAUCGUUGCACAGCGACAGACGAACUACCUCAGCCAGCCAUUAAUGCAACAGUUGUCGCCGACUGCUCCUCUGAUUUUUCCGUUCUCUUUUUGCUUCUCUCUAGCUGCCUUCACAGCCACCUCUGGCCGCCUCGUCCAAAUACAACCAGAAAAAUAUUCCUUCAUAUACCCUCUAUUUUCUCUGAUUAAUAUAUUUUUCAGUAAUUUUUUUUUCACAUUCUUGCUUUAUUCUAUGCAUUUUGGUUUGGAUCGGAGGAGUUUGGAUUUCGAUAGCCUUUAAUUUCAUGUUUUGCUAUUGUGCGAUAUGCUACUAUCAUGCUGUUGAAGUUGUUAUUUUUAUUACUCCACUUUUUAUUUGAUUGUUCAUUGUUAUCAAAGUUGUUGAUGUUAUUAUUUUUUACUUAAGUACUAUAUUCUCUAGUUUUUACGUUUGAUAUUGUUAUCAAUGUUACUUUGAUUACUUUUACUUUGUUUACACUACCACUUUCAUUAUACUUAUUAUUGAUAUAUUUUUGAUUAGUUAUUGUUGUUUUGUGAUCAUUGUUUAGUAUUUUUAGAGUUCAUAUUUGGUGCUCGUUUUAACCUUCCCUAAAAAUAGGGUAUGACACUUGUUGUGUUUUAUGAUGUUGACUUUUCGAGCUUCCUGAUCAGAGUUGAUUUUAUAUAGUUUGGUAUCAUUAUUUUAAUUUAUUUUCCUCAGUUUUGAGAGUAAUUUGUGUGCUUAACGCAAGUUUAUAAUUAAUUGAGUAAUUAGAGUUGAUUUGGAAAAUUAGUUUUACUAGCUUGAGCUAAAUGUGUGUCUAGUUGAUCUUGGGGGACUUUAAUGUGUUUAAUUUGAUCUAAAUAUUUUAAAUGUGUAAUUAUGAAUGGAAUAACUUAUUUGUAAUGUGCAAAAUUUAAUUUGACUAAGUCACGAGUUGAAAUAAUAAGUGGAAGAAUAUAGUGAAUUUGCCUUAUGCUCUUGUUUUGAUUUGUUGUUGAGAAUAUUGUGUUGUUUUGAUUUUUAAUAUGUGGUGUGCGAUAGUAUAGGAGGCUUGGUGAGAAUUAAAUAUGGGGAUAUAUUGUUGAUUUAGUAGCCGUUUGGCCAUGAAAAUUAAAAAUUUUUGG
This 1587-nucleotide long non-coding RNA is filed under the name Capsicum annuum. Its description in RNAcentral is "long non-coding RNA (CANN_LNC011578)". The record is from RNAcentral. Lineage: Eukaryota; Viridiplantae; Streptophyta; Magnoliopsida; Solanales; Solanaceae.